GAUGAAGAACGCAGCGAAAUGCGAUAAGUAGUGUGAAUUGCAGAAUUCAGUGAAUCAUCGAAUCUUUGAACGCACAUUGCGCCCCUUGGUAUCCCGAGGGGCAUGCCUGAUCGAGCGUCAUUUCACCACUCAAGCCUGGCUUGGUGUUGGGCGACGUCCUCUUUGGGGACGCGCCUCGAAACGCUCGGCGGCGUGGCACCGGCUUUAAGCGUAGCAGAAUCUUUCGCUUUGGAAGUCGGGGCCCCGUCUGCCGGAAGACCUGCUCGCAAGGUUGACCUCGGAUCAGGCAGGGAUACCCGCUGAACUUAAGCAUAUCAAUAAGCGGAGGA
Molecule: unclassified non-coding RNA, 329 nt
Filed under: soil metagenome
Description: partial contains 5.8S ribosomal RNA, internal transcribed spacer 2, and large subunit ribosomal RNA
Rfam family: 5.8S ribosomal RNA (bases 1-120)
Source: RNAcentral